GAAUCGGGUUAUAGAUGGUUUUCUAUUGAAGAACUGCAAAUUCUUUCAUCUAGGGUUCAAUUCCCUCUCGAUUCU
This 75-nucleotide transfer RNA is filed under the name Meira sp. (in: smut fungi & allies). Its description in RNAcentral is "Meira sp. tRNA-Cys". Lineage: Eukaryota; Fungi; Basidiomycota; Exobasidiomycetes; Exobasidiales; Brachybasidiaceae. The record is from RNAcentral.